CACUCCUACGGGAGGCAGCAGUAGGGAAUCUUCCACAAUGGGUGCAAACCUGAUGGAGCAAUGCCGCGUGAGUGAAGAAGGUCUUCGGAUCGUAAAGCUCUGUUGUUAGAGAAGAACACGUGCUAGGUAACUACUAGCGCCUUGACGGUAUCUAACCAGAAAGUCACGGCUAACUACGUGCCAGCAGCCGCGGUAAUACGUAGGUGACAAGCGUUGUCCGGAUUUAUUGGGCGUAAAGGGAGCGCAGGCGGUCUGUUUAGUCUAAUGUGAAAGCCCACGGCUUAACCGUGGAACGGCAUUGGAAACUGACAGACUUGAAUGUAGAAGAGGAAAAUGGAAUUCCAAGUGUAGCGGUGGAAUGCGUAGAUAUUUGGAGGAACACCAGUGGCGAAGGCGAUUUUCUGGUCUAACAUUGACGCUGAGGCUCGAAAGCGUGGGGAGCGAACAGGAUUAGAAACCCGAGUAGUCCCAUGA
Molecule: ribosomal RNA, 474 nt
Filed under: uncultured organism
Description: partial 16S ribosomal RNA
Rfam family: Bacterial small subunit ribosomal RNA
Source: RNAcentral